RNA transcript from Papaver somniferum (opium poppy), 1745 nucleotides. RefSeq lists it as uncharacterized. The transcript is spliced from 3 exons. Lineage: Eukaryota; Viridiplantae; Streptophyta; Magnoliopsida; Ranunculales; Papaveraceae. The record is from RefSeq and is a predicted model, not a curated record.
UUGUUCCACUUCCACGAUCGACUGCAGUACUCCAAUUCCUGCUUUAUCUCCUUCUUUCUCGCUUCAAGCCAGAUAACAAUUUUGAUGAUGGAUUUGAAGAGAUUACAACUGCAAUUUCUUUUCUCUCUCUUAGGUUAAUUAAGAAAAAAUAAAUAAAACCCUUCAAUAAAAUUCCCUUCCUCUUUCUCUUUUCUUUACGGUGAGACAACAAUUUUAGAUAUUUAAUGAAAGUGAAGGCGAAAACACCUCACAAGAUUUUCAGGGUCCAUAAAUGUUGAACUAGGAACUUCCCCAGCUUACUGCGUGGUCAGAAGUGAACUCCAGAGGUAAAUUGUUGUCUGUUAUCUGUUAGGAACUUGUGGAUAUAAAGUUGUUGCUUCUGACAAGUUCUUUGACAUUCAAAUCUUGUGUACAACAUCCAAAUCUCGGGUAAAUGGUUCGUUGGCAUCCAUCUAAGUUGUUUCACUAGUAUUCAAGAACUCUCAUAUUAAUUUUUGGUAGGGAAACACCGUUCUUUAUAUUUGUGAGUUUAUUUUCUUGCAAUGCAUCAGUACUUCUCAGUUUCAAUAUUAAACACUUCCUUUUCUUGCUAAUUAUAAAUUUCCUUACUUAACAUAUCAUGGAUAUUUCUUGGAUUUUCUCCUUAUAUAGUUGUUUAAAAUAUUGGUGACUAUAUUAUUAUUAUGGUGAAACAAUGCAUGGAAAUAGGAUGGACCCUGUCCAACAACAUCUUGUCAUAUGGACCUGAUGGUAGCGAACUUUCUUUCUUUGUUCAUUCAGUAAUACUUUUAUGUUUCUGUAUUUGCUCUUUGAUAACUUCUUUUAUGGCAGUGGUAAAUUAACUUUCAAGGCACUGAUGGAGUCUGCGGCACAGUCAUUUGUAAAUAAUGGUGAGAAAUACAAAGAUGAAAAACAAGAGGCAUUUCUUACUUCACUAGAACUUGGUAUGCGUCAUGGAUAAAUAAAAAUUUCAAACCUUCACUCCACCUCCUUUCGAUUAUGUGUGUAUCUCUUAUUGUGUUCUUUGCAUUUCGUCAAUUAGUUCUACUUCUUUCGUAUUUGACUUCUGAUGUAAUUUUGAUCACUUUCUAUGAUUAAUGUCUAGUUCUGUGGUGUUUGGAUCCCAUUUCACAAUAUAAUUUGAAGUUGCUAAAAUAAUAAUAUGUUAGAGGGUCGAAUGAAAUAUACCUUGGCCUUCUUACUCAAUAAGAAAAAGAUGAAGUUAGAUUUUGCGUUUUUCACCUCCUUUUUAUACUAGUUUCAAUUUCAAAUUCCUAAUGCUGAACAUUCUGAUGUUUCUUUUGGAUUUGGGUGCUGGUGGCUGAGUGAAUUGUGCUUGUGAAGGUGGUGAUCAGAAAUACUGAUAUAUGCAUAAGCUUCAUGUGCGCACCAAGUAUUGCACAAUUUUGGUGUAUUAGCAUGCAACUGAUGGUCGACGCAGUCAUCCAGGACUCAGACAUGCUUAUUCCUUUGGAUGCCAAGCGACAUUCUAGCAAAAGAGUUCGGAUGAGUUAACUUUGUUGUGGUGUGGGUGCGUCAUCCAUCUUCAGUAACGGGACCUGGAGUAUGCAGGCAAUGGAAGUGCAGUUCUCCCAAAAAUUUGUUAGAGGCUGUCCUUCCAAUUCUUUUAUGCAAAUGCGCUUAUAUGGUUUCAUACUUGCUGACCAUAUUGAUAUUACUUGUAAUCAACUUUAUUAGAAUCCAUAUAUCAAGAUAUAUACAAACCAUAUUGAUUUUUCAUUAAA